UAUAAUAUGGUGUACAUAAGCACCUUGAGCCUUGAAUUCAAAAGUGAGAGCCUCCCCUCUAUUAUAA
This 67-nucleotide transfer RNA is filed under the name Ramisyllis multicaudata. Its description in RNAcentral is "tRNA-Gln". The record is from RNAcentral. Lineage: Eukaryota; Metazoa; Annelida; Polychaeta; Phyllodocida; Syllidae.